Molecule: unclassified non-coding RNA, 240 nt
Filed under: soil metagenome
Description: partial contains 5.8S ribosomal RNA, internal transcribed spacer 2, and large subunit ribosomal RNA
Source: RNAcentral
AACUGAUACUACCUGCGGGAACCUGCGGAGGGAUCAUUACUGAGUGAGGGCCCCUCGGGGUCCAACCUCCCACCCGUGUUUAACGAACCUUUGUUGCUUCGGCGGGCCCGCCUCACGGCCGCCGGGGGGCUCCUGCCCCCGGGCCCGCGCCCGCCGAAGCCCCCCCUUGAACGCUGUCUGAAGUUUGCAGUCUGAGAAACUAGCUAAAUUAGUUAAAACUUUCAGCAACGGAUCUCUAGA